UACGGGGGGAGCAAGCGUUGUUUCAGGAUUUACUGGGCGUAAAGGGCGCGUGGUGGCGUGACAAGUCACUUGAUGAAAUCUCUGAGCUUAACUCCAGAACGGCCAAGGUGAAACUGUUGUGCUAGAGUGCAGGAAAGGGGCAAUCGGGUAAUUCUCGGUGUGAGCGGUGAAAUGACGUAGAUUAUCGAGAGGAACACCUGCGGCGAAGGCGGGGUUGCUGGGCUGACACUGACGCUGAGGCGCGAAAGCUAGGGGGAGCGAAACGG
RNAcentral lists this ribosomal RNA (266 nucleotides) under uncultured bacterium. RNAcentral's name for it is "partial 16S ribosomal RNA". It matches the Rfam family "Bacterial small subunit ribosomal RNA", at positions 524 to 776 of the family's 1533-position model. The record is from RNAcentral.